GGGGAACACACCAGGCCUGGCUGCGCGCUGAGAGCAGUCAAGAUUACUAAUGGCAGGACAGAAAGUAACAGCAACAAAAGGAGAUCCAGGGCCGGGCCGGAGCUGGGAAGACAGCGCUAAUGAGAACACUGAGAUGCAUUCCAGGCGAAAGGGUAACCCAAAAAUGAGCUGGAAUUCUGGACGAGAUCACCUGAUGCCUGAGUUUCUGGGGCUGCUUCCCCCUCUCCAGGUGAAUCUAGAAAUGGAAUUGCCUAAGGAUUUGGCAGAAGGUGAAAAAGAAGAGCUAAAGAGGAGCAUAGAAGGAGACACUUGGCCUUUGUGUCCAGAGAAGAAAGAGAAUGCCUUUGGGGAGGUUGCGAUCACCAGACGGCUGGCCCUCAGCAACACUGAAGCCCAGAAGUCGGAUUGCCCAGCGGCUUAUGGGGAGUGACCCCUUUGUUUCUCUGAAGCCGUCUCCUCCUAAUCCCCUUAGCUCUAUAAAAGCCCGCUGCUUUCUGUUCUUGGGGAGACAGACUCCAGCAAACCCAGGCUCCCAUCCACUCAUUUUGGCCAAUUUAAUUAAAUCUUUCUCCAUCUCCAAGCACCGGUGUCUCAGUGUUUGGCUUGCUGUGCAUCGGGCACACAAGCUUGAGAUUAAGAGGUUCAGUAUCGAUCAUUCUGUUUAAUUGCCUGAAACACAAGGCUCAAAUGAUCCUGAGAAGAAGACUGGCUCGCACACAGCCUAGUAGAGCUCAGUGCUGGACCGCUGUGAAAAAUUCCAAUCCAAUGGUGGCUUGUUUAUUUUAAAUUAUUCAAAAUCAUUUUAAAGCCUUAAAAAUGGAAGUAGUUGCAACUUCAUGUGGUGAAAUAACAUGGGUAUUUGAGAAGAGAAAUGUGAUAUUGUUUAUAAUGAUAAUAAUAUCGGCCACCACGUACUAGCCCUUACUGUGUUCCAGGUUUUCUACUAA
This 947-nucleotide long non-coding RNA is filed under the name Equus caballus (horse). RNAcentral describes it as "lncRNA (ENSECAG00000046323.1)". The record is from RNAcentral. Lineage: Eukaryota; Metazoa; Chordata; Mammalia; Perissodactyla; Equidae.